AGGAUCAUUAUCGAAAUUUGAGGAGGGAAGAUGGAGAGCUUAGGACUGUCGCUGGCUUUUCACUUGCAUGUGCACAUCCUUGCUUUUAUCUGUCGACCUUUCUCUCACUCUCGUUCACACACCUGUGCACCUAUUGUAGGUCCUUGCAAGAGGAUCUAUGUUUUUUUUUUUUUUUUCACAUCACAUCUCCAUCGUAUGUCUAUAGAAUGCUAUAAAUGGCGGUCGGAUCAGGCUUGUUCCUGUUUUGGCUGGUCAAUAAAAAUCAUAUACAACUUUCAGCAACGGAUCUCUUGGCUCUCGCAUCGAUGAAGAACGCAGCGAAUUGCGAUAAGUAAUGUGAAUUGCAGAUUUCCAGUGAAUCAUCGAAUCUUUGAACGCACCUUGCGCUCCUUGGUAUUCCGAGGAGCAUGCCUGUUUGAGUGUCUUUGAAUUCUCAACCAUGUCUUGAUCGAUUUCGAGACAUUGGCUUGGAGGUUGGGGGGUUGCUGGCGUUUGUCGUGUCAGCUCUCCUGAAAUGCAUUAGCAAUGGGUGGCUAGUCUUUUAUGUGCACAGCCUUUCGACGUGAUAAUGAUCGUCGUGGCUGAUGCGUUGAAUAGGACCCAUGCUUAUAAUAGUUGGAUCGCUCGUCUUGCAAGGAAGGCAUGUAUUCCCAAGCUUUAGUUACUAGUCGGUCGCAAGACUGGCGAACACAGAGNNNNNCAAGUCAUGCUUUUUCUGGACCUGUGGUUUCCUUCAAUCUCUGAC
The sequence is a ribosomal RNA, 745 nucleotides long. The stretch from base 271 to 425 matches the Rfam family "5.8S ribosomal RNA".